RNAcentral lists this long non-coding RNA (199 nucleotides) under Elaeis guineensis (African oil palm). RNAcentral's name for it is "long non-coding RNA (EGUI_LNC033404)". Lineage: Eukaryota; Viridiplantae; Streptophyta; Magnoliopsida; Arecales; Arecaceae. The record is from RNAcentral.
GCCUCCAUGUCGUCAUGCAUUGCAUUCUGGGCUCCUCCAUCUUAGAUUUUUCUUCUAUGGAUCGAAUUCGAGGUAUCAAAAUUCCAACAAUAUCUACCUCAACUCUAUAUUUGGCCUCCAUCUGACUUUGAGAGCUUCUGAAUCUUCUCGCCCCCAUGCCCUGAGGCAUAUGCUUGCUACUCAUGGAUGGGCAAACAUG